RNAcentral lists this ribosomal RNA (372 nucleotides) under uncultured organism. RNAcentral describes it as "bacterial SSU rRNA". It matches the Rfam family "Bacterial small subunit ribosomal RNA", at positions 526 to 896 of the family's 1533-position model. The record is from RNAcentral.
CGUAGGUGGCAAGCGUUGUCCGGAGUUACUGGGUGUAAAGGGCGUGUAGGCGGGAAGAUAAGUCAGAUGUGAAAUUCCAUGGCUCAACUGUGGCGCUGCAUCUGAAACUAUUUUUCUUGAGUGAUGGAGAGGAAAGUGGAAUUCCUAGUGUAGCGGUGAAAUGCGUAGAUAUUAGGAGGAACACCAGUGGCGAAGGCGACUUUCUGGACAUUAACUGACGCUGAGGCGCGAAGGCGUGGGGAGCAAACAGGAUUAGAUACCCUGGUAGUCCACGCUGUAAACGAUGGAUACUAGGUGUAGGAGGUAUCGACCCCUCCUGUGCCGCAGUUAACACAAUAAGUAUCCCACCUGGGGAGUACGGCCGCAAGGUUG